This 75-nucleotide antisense RNA is filed under the name Streptomyces sp. ADI92-24. RNAcentral's name for it is "ASpks TB sRNA". It matches the Rfam family "ASpks TB sRNA". The record is from RNAcentral. Lineage: Bacteria; Bacillati; Actinomycetota; Actinomycetes; Kitasatosporales; Streptomycetaceae. RNAcentral also lists the same sequence under 1 other name.
CUUGACCGAGCCGAGGUACAGCGGCCUGCCCUCGGCCCGGUCCUGGCCGUAGGUGGCGAGCAGGGCCUGCGCCUC